UCCCUGAUGGCUCAGAUAGUAAAGUGUCUGCCUGCAAUGCAGGAGACCCAGGUUUAAUUCCUGGGCCGGAAG
RNAcentral lists this transfer RNA (72 nucleotides) under Bos taurus (domestic cattle). It matches the Rfam family "tRNA". Rfam says of the family: Transfer RNA (tRNA) molecules are approximately 80 nucleotides in length. RNAcentral also lists the same sequence under 1 other name. The record is from Rfam by way of RNAcentral. Lineage: Eukaryota; Metazoa; Chordata; Mammalia; Artiodactyla; Bovidae.